This 967-nucleotide ribosomal RNA is filed under the name Metapseudomonas otitidis. RNAcentral's name for it is "bacterial SSU rRNA". It matches the Rfam family "Bacterial small subunit ribosomal RNA", at positions 22 to 984 of the family's 1533-position model. The record is from RNAcentral. Lineage: Bacteria; Pseudomonadati; Pseudomonadota; Gammaproteobacteria; Pseudomonadales; Pseudomonadaceae.
GCUCAGAUUGAACGCUGGCGGCAGGAACACACCUUGCAAGUCGAGCGGAUGAGUGGAGCUUGCUCCCGGAUUCAGCGGCGGACGGGUGAGUAAUGCCUAGGAAUCUGCCUGGUAGUGGGGGAUAACGUUUCGAAAGGAAAGCUAAUACCGCAUACGUCCUACGGGAGAAAGUGGGGGAUCUUCGGACCUCACGCUAUCAGAUGAGCCUAGGUCGGAUUAGCUAGUUGGUGGGGUAAAGGCUCACCUAGGCGACGAUCCGUAACUGGUCUGAGAGGAUGAUCAGUCACACUGGAACUGAGACACGGUCCAGACUCCUACGGGAGGCAGCAGUGGGGAAUAUUGGACAAUGGGCGCAAGCCUGAUCCAGCCAUGCCGCGUGUGUGAAGAAGGUCUUCGGAUUGUAAAGCACUUUCAGUUGGGAGGAAGGGCAGUAAGUUAAUACCUUGCUGUUUUGACGUUACCCACAGAAUAAGCACCGGCUAACUUCGUGCCAGCAGCCGCGGUAAUACGAAGGGUGCAAGCGUUAAUCGGAAUUACUGGGCGUAAAGCGCGCGUAAGUGGUUCAGCAAGAUGGAUGUGAAAUCCCCGGGCUCAACCUGGGAACUGCAUCCAAAACUACUGAGCUAGAGUCCGGUAGAGGGUGGUAGAAUUUCCUGUGUAGCGGUGAAAUGCGUAGAUAUAGGAAGGAACACCAGUGGCGAAGGCGACCACCUGGACUGAUACUGACACUGAGGUGCGAAAGCGUGGGGAGCAAACAGGAUUAGAUACCCUGGUAGUCCACGCCGUAAACGAUGUCGACUAGCCGUUGGGAUCCUUGAGAUCUUAGUGGCGCAGCUAACGCGAUAAGUCGACCGCCUGGGGAGUACGGCCGCAAGGUUAAAACUCAAAUGAAUUGACGGGGGCCCGCACAAGCGGUGGAGCAUGUGGUUUAAUUCGAUGCAACGCGAAGAACCUUACCUGGCCUUGA